Molecule: long non-coding RNA, 335 nt
Organism: Ictalurus punctatus (channel catfish)
Lineage: Eukaryota; Metazoa; Chordata; Actinopteri; Siluriformes; Ictaluridae
Source: Ensembl
ACUGAAUCCUGCAGCAUUGCAACAACUUGGAGCUCUGCUGAUAGUCCUGCUCAUGCUGCACUACUGCCUCAUGGCUGGUGGGUUGGCCGACUGAUUUAUAGAGUUGCAGAGAUCCAGAUCCUUUCUACCUCUGGAUGGAGCUCAAAUCUUCUCUAAUUCCAGACUGCUGGGACUACGGCUGCUCCUAAGGCCAUACAGACUUCAUAUGGAUCCAUAAUGAACUUUUUCACACUAACUGUUGUUACCCAGAUGAGGAUGGGUUCCCUUCUGAGUCGGCUUCCUCUCAAGGUUUCUUCCUCUUAAAACAUCUUAGGGAGUUUUUCCUUGCCACCGAC